Long non-coding RNA from Humulus lupulus (European hop), 793 nucleotides. RefSeq lists it as uncharacterized. NCBI's taxonomy places the organism in Eukaryota, Viridiplantae, Streptophyta, Magnoliopsida, Rosales, Cannabaceae. The transcript has 3 exons. The record is from RefSeq and is a predicted model, not a curated record.
UUUAUUAUUUUGGUAAACAUUUUUGUAAGAAAAUUUUAAUUCAGUAGUGGUUUAUUAUGCAUUUAUGUGUAUUUUUGUGAGGGCUUUUUAGUCAUUUUAUGUGUUUUUUUUAUUAUUUUAUUUUAUUUUAUUUUUGAAUUUUUUUUUGUAAAGAAAUCAAUUCCCAGUAUGCAUGCAGGUACUUGAGUACCCAGCCUCUAUCACGUUUUUAUCUUCUUCACGUUUUCUGAAUUUUAUUAGUAUAUUUUAUUAAGUAUCACGUUUUCUUCAGUGGUGAUUUGUGUUCUUAGUUUUCGUUCUUGUGUUAGGGUUUAUUUGAGUUCUUUGUUGUCGAUUUUCUGCCCUCUGUGCGUGUGUUUCGUCUCGGUGAGUACCUGGUUUCAGGAUUUUUAUAAGUUUCUCGUUGUGGAUUUGUGCCUCUUUGUGGUGUUUUCGUAUCGUGCAUUGAUAUUUCUCUUGCUCGAAUUUGUGUGAUGGAUCACUGUGGUGAAUGCGGUGGUGUUUCUGGUUCGGAGAAGAAAAUUUCUGGUAUAGUAGAGGAUGAAUCGAAGAAUGUAGGGGAUGAUAUUUGCGAGAUUCUUCCUCGAAGGAGUAACAUUACACAUUUGAAGUCUGUUGCAAGGAAGAAGAGUAAAUCCCCUUCCUCUGUUGCAAGGAAGACAAGUAAAUCGCCUUCCACUGUUAAACAGGCGAAGGAUUCGUGUGCAUCUGGUAGUAAGGAUGCUGGAGAUGAUUCUCAUGAGACUAAACAUGUUGUGGUAUGUGUUUAUUUUUUUAAUUAUUUUAAUAUAAA